RNAcentral lists this ribosomal RNA (1260 nucleotides) under Bacillus sp. (in: firmicutes). RNAcentral describes it as "bacterial SSU rRNA". It matches the Rfam family "Bacterial small subunit ribosomal RNA", at positions 95 to 1341 of the family's 1533-position model. The record is from RNAcentral. Lineage: Bacteria; Bacillati; Bacillota; Bacilli; Caryophanales; Bacillaceae.
GCGGCGGACGGGUGAGUAACACGUGGGUAACCUGCCUGUAAGACUGGGAUAACUCCGGGAAACCGGGGCUAAUACCGGAUGGUUGUUUGAACCGCAUGGUUCAGACAUAAAAGGUGGCUUCGGCUACCACUUACAGAUGGACCCGCGGCGCAUUAGCUAGUUGGUGAGGUAACGGCUCACCAAGGCGACGAUGCGUAGCCGACCUGAGAGGGUGAUCGGCCACACUGGGACUGAGACACGGCCCAGACUCCUACGGGAGGCAGCAGUAGGGAAUCUUCCGCAAUGGACGAAAGUCUGACGGAGCAACGCCGCGUGAGUGAUGAAGGUUUUCGGAUCGUAAAGCUCUGUUGUUAGGGAAGAACAAGUGCCGUUCAAAUAGGGCGGCACCUUGACGGUACCUAACCAGAAAGCCACGGCUAACUACGUGCCAGCAGCCGCGGUAAUACGUAGGUGGCAAGCGUUGUCCGGAAUUAUUGGGCGUAAAGGGCUCGCAGGCGGUUUCUUAAGUCUGAUGUGAAAGCCCCCGGCUCAACCGGGGAGGGUCAUUGGAAACUGGGGAACUUGAGUGCAGAAGAGGAGAGUGGAAUUCCACGUGUAGCGGUGAAAUGCGUAGAGAUGUGGAGGAACACCAGUGGCGAAGGCGACUCUCUGGUCUGUAACUGACGCUGAGGAGCGAAAGCGUGGGGAGCGAACAGGAUUAGAUACCCUGGUAGUCCACGCCGUAAACGAUGAGUGCUAAGUGUUAGGGGGUUUCCGCCCCUUAGUGCUGCAGCUAACGCAUUAAGCACUCCGCCUGGGGAGUACGGUCGCAAGACUGAAACUCAAAGGAAUUGACGGGGGCCCGCACAAGCGGUGGAGCAUGUGGUUUAAUUCGAAGCAACGCGAAGAACCUUACCAGGUCUUGACAUCCUCUGACAAUCCUAGAGAUAGGACGUCCCCUUCGGGGGCAGAGUGACAGGUGGUGCAUGGUUGUCGUCAGCUCGUGUCGUGAGAUGUUGGGUUAAGUCCCGCAACGAGCGCAACCCUUGAUCUUAGUUGCCAGCAUUCAGUUGGGCACUCUAAGGUGACUGCCGGUGACAAACCGGAGGAAGGUGGGGAUGACGUCAAAUCAUCAUGCCCCUUAUGACCUGGGCUACACACGUGCUACAAUGGACAGAACAAAGGGCAGCGAAACCGCGAGGUUAAGCCAAUCCCACAAAUCUGUUCUCAGUUCGGAUCGCAGUCUGCAACUCGACUGCGUGAAGCUGGAAUCGCUAGUAA